Molecule: ribosomal RNA, 262 nt
Filed under: uncultured bacterium
Lineage: Bacteria
Description: partial 16S ribosomal RNA
Rfam family: Bacterial small subunit ribosomal RNA
Source: RNAcentral
GUCCUAGCCGUAAACGGUGGGCACUAGGUGUAGGAGGCAUCGACCCCUCCUGUGCCGCAGCUAACGCAUUAAGUGCCCCGCCUGGGGAGUACGACCGCAAGGUUGAAACUCAAAGGAAUUGACGGGGCCCGCACAAGCGGUGGAGCAUGUGGUUUAAUUCGAUGCAACGCGAAGAACCUUACCCAGGUUUGACAUGUGCCGGACGGGUGUGGAAACACACCUUCCCUUCGGGGCCGGCACACAGGUGCUGCAUGGCUGUCGU